GGAAUUAGAGUAUGGAGAAAUGAAGAAAUGAUGUAAGAAGACUGGCACGUGUGGCACGUGAGGAGUAGUGAGCUGCAGUACACGUGGAAAGAAAAGAUUGGAUCAAGUGGGCUAAAGCCCUUUAAAAGAGACAUCGUUCUCUUCUUCUUCAUUAUGCAAAAACCAGAGAAAUUAUUUUUAGUUGUAAUCUUCUUCUUCUUCUUAGUUUGUGUUGAAACUAUGGUGUUGUACUCAUCUAGAUCGAGAUCUCUCCGUUAGAUCUUUGUCAUUUGAGAUAUCGGCUCGCGUUUUAUGAACGUUAGUCCGAUUUGGUUCCGGUUACGAUUUGAAUUGAAGUAUUGGUGUUUUUCUUUAUCAAAGGUAUCAGAGCUGUGUCAUCCUCGGAUUCGUAUCAAUGGCGGCAACACGAUCUCCGAUGUUUGUCACGGAAAUGGUGGUUCGUGAAACCAUGGCGAAGACUCGAUCGCAAGCAGUGGUUACAGAAGAAACGAUUGGAUCGAGGAUUCAGGCGUUAGAAGAUUUGGUGAAGGAACGAAAUCAGAAGAUUGAUAGAAAUAUUUUGGAUAUGCUCGAGGCUAUGAAUCUGUUGACGAACAAGGGAUAUUCGUCUCAUGUACAAGAUCUUCGCAAUUCGUCUCGUGUAUCACCAGCACCUGCCAAUUCUCCAUCAGAUCCAGCACAUGGACAUCGUUCAGGUAUCUCUAAUUCUUAUGUGAGAGUUACAAGGUUGGCGAAGUUAGAUUGUCCUCGAUUUGGUGGCGAUAGAGUAAAGGAAUGGCUCUUUAAGAUUGAACAAUUUUUCUUGGUUGAUCGAACACCGGAUGAAUUGAAAAUAGGUUUAGUAUCUGGCCUAUUUGAUGAUCUGGCUGCUACUUGGCAUCAAUGGCUGGUACAAUCAGUUCUGUGGAAGCAUGUUAUGCACGAUUGGAUGACAUACAAAAUGUUGUUGCAAGGUAGAUUUAAGGAGCUGGAGGUUGAUCCAAUUGUUGAGUUGAAACAAUUACAGGAAACAGAUGGAAUUAGAGAUUAUCAUGAAAAAUUUGAGCUGAUCAAAUCUCGUGUGAAUCUAUCUGAAGCAUACUUGGUUAGUAUUUACUUAGCAGGGCUCAGAACAGAUACUCAAGUGAAUGUUAAAAUGUUUCAGCCACAAACAGUGAGCCAGUGUUUCAUGCUUGGAAGAUUGUAUGAGCAAGCACAUCCUAGAAGCAACACUGAUACCAGAGGGAUUAGUGAACCGAAAGCAGCGAAGGAUACAAAAGUGGUAGAAAUUGAGGUUGAGACAAAAUCGAUUGAAACGAUGGCACAUGAAGCGAUUUUGAAGGAAGACUUGAUUCCCCAAUUUCAGGUACCGGUUUCUAACUUGGAAUCUAGCCUUCGAUUUCACAAUGCAUCACCGGUUGUUUGUGAGGAUUCCCACUCUGUUGUUGUUGGCUGUACUGACUUGUUUAAUCAUCAAGAAACGAUAUUGCAAGCUUUAUACACCACCAAAGCAAGGGAUGUGUCGCUUCAGAAAUCAACAAGUGUCCCUAACAGUCAAGUUGCACACCAACUGUUCGAGAAAAUGCCUCUCAGAGAACAAAGUAAAAAGAGGCAUAUUAAGUGUUUCAAGUGUUGGAGAUUCAAAUUCAAACUAAGGAAACAACAGAGAGGCAAGCCACGAAUAGCACACAAACUGAUUUACAGAGGGGGUGUGAUGUACAAAUAUUUUGCUUCAAGUGUCAAAGUUGUAGUGAUAAAGAAGAAGAACAAGUUCUGUAAGACUUGGUCUACGCUCAAAGAUGGCUGUUUUAAGAAAACCAGGCCACAAAUAGAGGAUGUGAUGGGUGAAGAUCGCAAGAAACAACACGGAGAUAGUGAGCAUGAUACAAAAGUCUUUGAAACUUUAAAAGACCUACAACAGUUUACACUUGGUGAAGUGAUGUUCCAAAUAAAGCACAAGUGGAGAGAUGAUCAAUUUUCUGUGGAGAAGACUAUAAAAAUAGGCAGGAACUUUCACUACAAAAAUAGGUUAAUCCAAGGUGAAUUAGUGAAGAUGGGAGAACUAUCUAAGCUCAGAUUGAAGAAACAUCACAUGUCACAGUACUUAUGGAAGAGUUGGUGUUCUACAGUGCUUUAUGGAUAUUUUCUUUGGGAACACAGUGACAACGGGACGCAGCUCUUAUGCAGCAGGAGAUUGGUUGUUUACAAGCUUGGAAGUGAGGCCAAGAAUGCUGUAGCGGUGUCUCAGCGUGUGUAUUGGACUGUUGCACUGGAUUUUGCGAAAGUAGAACCAAAGCUUGAAGUCACACAAAGCCAAACCUUUGACCCUGGGAUUGGACUUGAAUCACAAGAGACUCUAAGAAGAACUAUGGAGGUAACGGCAUGGGAGUUCUCUUUGUUUCGCAUUGACAAUUUCCAAACACUGAACCUUGUGGUCAAGGUUCUUUGAAGAGGGGAGAUUUGAUAUAGGAAUUAGAGUAUGGAGAAAUGAAGAAAUGAUGUAAGAAGACUGGCACGUGUGGCACGUGAGGAGUAGUGAGCUGCAGUACACGUGGAAAGAAAAGAUUGGAUCAAGUGGGCUAAAGCCCUUUAAAAGAGACAUCGUUCUCUUCUUCUUCAUUAUGCAAAAACCAGAGAAAUUAUUUUUAGUUGUAAUCUUCUUCUUCUUCUUAGUUUGUGUUGAAACUAUGGUGUUGUACUCAUCUAGAUCGAGAUCUCUCCGUUAGAUCUUUGUCAUUUGAGAUAUCGGCUCGCGUUUUAUGAACGUUAGUCCGAUUUGGUUCCGGUUACGAUUUGAAUUGAAGUAUUGGUGUUUUUUCUUUAUCACCUACCAAAAAUUA
RNAcentral lists this long non-coding RNA (2819 nucleotides) under Arabidopsis lyrata. Its description in RNAcentral is "long non-coding RNA (ALYR_LNC002317)". Lineage: Eukaryota; Viridiplantae; Streptophyta; Magnoliopsida; Brassicales; Brassicaceae. The record is from RNAcentral.